AUUGAACGCUGGCGGCAUGCUAUACACAUGCAAGUCGAACGGUAACAGGGAGCUUGCUCCGCUGACGAGCGGCGAACGGGUGAGUAAUAUAUCGGAACGUACCCAAGAGUGGGGGAUAACGUAGCGAAAGUUACGCUAAUACCGCAUACGAUCUAUGGAUGAAAGCAGGGGACCUUCGGGCCUUGUGCUCCUGGAGCGGCCGAUAUCUGAUUAGCUAGUUGGUGAGGUAAAGGCUCACCAAGGCGACGAUCAGUAGCUGGUCUGAGAGGACGACCAGCCACACUGGAACUGAGACACGGUCCAGACUCCUACGGGAGGCAGCAGUGGGGAAUUUUGGACAAUGGGCGCAAGCCUGAUCCAGCAAUGCCGCGUGAGUGAAGAAGGCCUUCGGGUUGUAAAGCUCUUUUGUCAGGGAAGAAACGGCUGUGGCUAAUAUCCACGGCUAAUGACGGUACCUGAAGAAUAAGCACCGGCUAACUACGUGCCAGCAGCCGCCGUAA
This 500-nucleotide ribosomal RNA is filed under the name uncultured bacterium. RNAcentral's name for it is "partial 16S ribosomal RNA". It matches the Rfam family "Bacterial small subunit ribosomal RNA", at positions 30 to 523 of the family's 1533-position model. The record is from RNAcentral.